RNAcentral lists this small RNA (56 nucleotides) under Anolis carolinensis (green anole). The record is from RNAcentral. Lineage: Eukaryota; Metazoa; Chordata; Lepidosauria; Squamata; Anolidae.
GAUGCUGGUGGUUGGCGCUCCUGGCUUCCAGGACGGGGUUUAAGUCCCUGCACAUC